Apis florea (little honeybee) is the source of this 365-nucleotide long non-coding RNA. Lineage: Eukaryota; Metazoa; Arthropoda; Insecta; Hymenoptera; Apidae. The record is from RefSeq and is a predicted model, not a curated record.
UAGAAUGCUUACCACAAAAUGGUAGAUCUCCUUGCCAUUUUCCACGAACAUUGCAUGUUAAACUGCCACUGCUGAACAAAUAAUAAUUAAAUGAAAUAAGAACCGAAAUUCUUUACUUUAUGAUAAACAAUGCACGACAAGAGAACGGAACACGAACACGUAAACAAAUAUCGUCAAUCAUACGAAUUAUAAAAUGGAGAAAGUUUAUAAUGAUUAUUUAAGUAUGACGUUUAAUAUUCCACAAAGAACGGAUAUUUCUAAAGAGUCACUUACCCAAAUAAUUCGUAUCCGGCAUCACAAGUAUAUGUCGCCAAAGUGCCUGUUGCUAAGGAUUCAUCGGACAAUGACACCUUGGCAUUCAUUGG